RNAcentral lists this ribosomal RNA (497 nucleotides) under uncultured bacterium. Its description in RNAcentral is "partial 16S ribosomal RNA". It matches the Rfam family "Bacterial small subunit ribosomal RNA", at positions 28 to 507 of the family's 1533-position model. The record is from RNAcentral.
GAUGAACGCUGGCGGCGUGCCUAAUACAUGCAAGUCGAGCGAACAGAUGAGGAGCUUGCUCCUCUGACGUUAGCGGCGGACGGGUGAGUAACACGUGGAUAACCUACCUAUAAGACUGGGAUAACUUCGGGAAACCGGAGCUAAUACCGGAUAAUAUAUUGAACCGCAUGGUUCAAUAGUGAAAGACGGUUUUGCUGUCACUUAUAGAUGGAUCCGCGCCGCAUUAGCUAGUUGGUAAGGUAACGGCUUACCAAGGCAACGAUGCGUAGCCGACCUGAGAGAGUGAUAGGCCACACUGGAACUGAGACACGGUCAAGACGCCUAAGGGAGGCAGCAGUAGGGAAUGUUACGCAAUGGGCGAAAGCCUGACGGAGCAACGCAGCGUGAGUGAUGAAGGUCUUCGGAUCGUAAAGCUGUGUUAUUAGGGAAGAACAAAUGUGUAAGUAAAUAUGCACGUCUUGACGGUACCUAAUCAGAAAGCCACGGCUAACUACGUG